GUAGGUGGCAAGCGUUGUCCGGGAAUUACUGGGCGUAAAGCGCGCGCAGGCGGUUCGUUUAAGUCUGAUGCGAAAGCCCACGGGCUCAACCGUGGAGGGUCAUUGGAAACUGGAGAACUUGAGUACAGAAGAGGAAAGCGGAAUUCCACGUGUAGCGGUGAAAUGCGUAGAGAUGUGGAGGAACACCAGUGGCGAAGGCGGCUUUCUGGUCUGUAACUGACGCUGAGGCGCGAAAGCGUGGGGAGCAAACAGGAUUAGAUACCCUGGUAGUCCACGCCGUAAACGAUGAGUGCUAAGUGUUAGGGGGUUUCCGCCCCUUAGUGCUGCAGCUAACGCAUUAAGCACUCCGCCUGGGGAGUACGGCCGCAAAGGCUG
RNAcentral lists this ribosomal RNA (375 nucleotides) under uncultured organism. RNAcentral describes it as "partial 16S ribosomal RNA". It matches the Rfam family "Bacterial small subunit ribosomal RNA", at positions 527 to 896 of the family's 1533-position model. The record is from RNAcentral.